UUUUGGCUACUGAAGUGGGAGAAAUUGUGAAUUUCCUUAGGUAGAAUGAAGCUAAGCUCUUAAACAUCGAGACGCAUUUUGGUGUGACGAUUGAAAUUUCAUUAGGAACUCUAAAACUAAGCAUGCUCUAGCAGGAGCCCUCGUUAUUUAAGUUAGUAUUACUUUAGCCUUUGCAUUUGAAAUCCUCGAUCUUGGUACAACCGGAGGCAAGUUAUACAAUGUUUUUUUGCUUCAAGUAUAUUCAUUUGCAUAACUCAAUCUUUUCUACACGCUUAUUGCUUUCCAUGUGCCCAAUAGGUUGGCUUACGAAUUGAACAUCCCCAGGAACUAAUAAACAAGAUACAGUAUUCUUCGCUAGCUACCGAGGUUCAAUCAGGUCGUGGAAAAGUACCUGUAGCAGAUUACAAGGUGGUUAAAUAUAUCAAUGAAGGAUCUGAGAUUGUGAACUCUUGUUUGGAGGACCGAACUAGAAGCUGCUAUUCUUUCUGCAUGUGUCCUGGUGGUCAGGUUGUGCUAACUAGCACGAAUUCAUCUGAGCUCUGCAUCAAUGGCAUGUCAUUUUCUCGUCGGUCGUCGAGAUGGGCCAAUUCGGCUAUUGUUGUUAGUGUAUCUACGAAUGACUUUGCUCCCUUCACUGGUUAUGGGGCUCUUUGUGGUGUUGAAUUUCAGGUUCUUGUCCUCGUUCUUCUCCUCUUGUUAGUGUACACGUUGCAUUACUUCAGUGUUCUGUAUAAAAAAAGUGAAUUUUACAUACA
Phalaenopsis equestris is the source of this 755-nucleotide long non-coding RNA. RefSeq lists it as uncharacterized. The record is from RefSeq and is a predicted model, not a curated record. The transcript is spliced from 3 exons. Lineage: Eukaryota; Viridiplantae; Streptophyta; Magnoliopsida; Asparagales; Orchidaceae.